Haemorhous mexicanus (house finch) is the source of this 1282-nucleotide long non-coding RNA. RefSeq lists it as uncharacterized. The record is from RefSeq and is a predicted model, not a curated record. Lineage: Eukaryota; Metazoa; Chordata; Aves; Passeriformes; Fringillidae. The transcript has 2 exons.
ACCAGUCCAGUAACUCCUGCUUACAUAGGGAAAAUAGAUACCAGCUUUAUGCCAACAAAAGUGUGGAGUGAUCCCUUAAACUGCCCCACUGCCAAGGCUGAUAGAAGAGACAAACACUUCAAGUUGGAGGAUGAGGGCAGUUCCAGUGGGACACCGGGCUCUGCCAAACCUCUGCCUUCCCGACUGAGCUGAGUUCCUUGUUUCACACAGGACAGCUGACUCUGGGGAGUUGUCUGGAGUGCCUCAGAAGCCCUUCAGGUGCCUUCAAGCCCUGUCUCUUCUAGGAGUGAUUCCUGCAGUCCAUGAGCUUGUCCCAUGGCACCCCUGUGGCAGCAGUGUGUUCCCUUGAAGAUGAGAAGGAUCUUGUAACUCCUUGCACUGCGGGAAGGGUUUUGCAUCUUACCUCUUCUCCAGUGCCUGGGGGCGGUAUGCAGACACACCACAUCACCGUCUGCCGCCUGGCUCCGCAGAGCCUAAUGGGCUGGAAGUUCAGCCUUGUUCUUGCAUCAUCUAUUGCUGACCUUCAAAAGAAAAAUAGGGGAUUUGUGUCCAGGAAGGAGGCUUUGAAAAUUUAAUUUGGUUUGGAUUUUCUUUUUGAGAUAGGGAUUUGUGUUUCUUUUCUAUAUUCUUGGGUUUUUUUUUUUUUUUCAGCUGUAGCAGUGUCAGCUUCUUUCUGAAAAUUUGGUGGUGGUCUUAACAAUAUGGGCUUCUGCCUUUCUCAAAUCUUCAUAAGCAUUACGGUGUGUUAAAGAUGGAAAAAGCCCCAGCCUUCCCACAGGUGUGUUCCCUAGGCAGAAGAACCACUUUGUUCACACUGCCACGGAGCUGGCUGAAGGUGCCAUGACCCCCACGCUGCCCAAGGCUGUCACCAGCCCUGCCCCUGGCAUGCCAGCAGCGCUGUGUGUGUGACAGCUGCAUUCCUGUGCGGCAGACAGCGUGCCUGCCCUGCCUAGCCGGGCAGAGGCAGCUCCAGCACCUGGUGGAGGAAGGGGGUGCGGUGCUGGGAUGAGUAACUGUGGGAAUAUUAGCCCUCCCCUCGGUGCUGUGCAAACAAGGCAGCUGUGCUGCCGGGGAUGUGGCUCACAGCUGACAGGCACCAGGCACGGAGCAGGCUCCUAUCUGCAGAAGAGCAUGUAGACACAGCCUCGCUUGUUUAGCUCUGUGUUAACAGCAAAAAACAAAUCCUAAGUGGACUAAACAAAUCUCAUCGUGGCAAAGUGCUUCAUCAAUUACUAAUUCAGCCUCUGGCAGACUAAUAGGGAAUAAAGCUGUUUACCUCAGA